Molecule: microRNA precursor, 206 nt
Filed under: Oryza nivara
Lineage: Eukaryota; Viridiplantae; Streptophyta; Magnoliopsida; Poales; Poaceae
Description: MIR812 microRNA precursor family
Rfam family: MIR812 microRNA precursor family
Source: Rfam by way of RNAcentral
AAAGACGUAAACCAUGGGUUUCCGUGUCCAACUUUGACUAUCCGUCUUAUAUGAAAUUUUUUUAUAAUUCGUAUUUUCAUUGUUGUUAGAUGAUAAAACAUGAUUAAUAUUUUAUGCGUGACUUGUCUUUUUAAUUUUUUUUAUAAUUUUUUCAAAUAAGACAGACGGUCAAACAUUGGACACGGAAACCAGGGUUUGCCUUUUUU